AUUCAAUACUAGUCAAUGAUCACACUUGAGUGCUCUUGGAUGCCUGCAUAGUUCAGCAACAUGAAACAAAAACAAAGAAUACCCUAGGUUCAACAUUGGCUUCAAAGGGAGGAGUACUUGUCUUCCUCUGGUUUGUUUACACCACUUCUCUGGAUGGAACUGAGACAGAACAGCUGCUCUGGAUAAAUUGCUUUAGCUUUCUGGCAGAAUUCCACAGUGCUUUACAGCAACAGAAUGUCAAGGAGCUGUAUUUCCAAUCCUGAGCUGCACUUCUGUGCACACACUUCUGUGUCGUGGUGAAAUUCAGAACUGACCCAUGAACUUUUCCAGGAUAACUGCUUGUUUGACCUUCAGCAAAGGGUUGGAGAAGCUUGGUUCUUCUUCCUGUGAGCAAGUCUUGCACAGUUGCCCCAGUGCUGAUGGGCAGCAACCUGCACUGCCACCUCAUCUCUAAAUAAAUAACGUGACUGCACUUCAGUGUUAAUGGGCAAUGUCCAGGGGUACAACAAGGCAAGAGACAAGGAACAAAGGAAAACGUGGAGGGAAGCAGAAGUUGUCCGAUCUCAACAUCUUGCAGGAGCACAGAACUGGUCAAGAACUUGGGAGAGGAGCAGGGACAGAGAAGCCAGGUUGUCAGGGGAGGCAGGCUGGAUAUGGGGAUGGAGCACAUGAGUUUGCAGCUACUGACAUUCCAGUUCCCACUGCCUCGACCUGAACUGGUAACUUGACCUGAGCGCUGCACCUCUUCCUGUUUGCAUGGUCAGAGAGAGGUUCGUGUGUUGGAAACAGGUUCCCUCUUACAGGACACAAAAUCCAGAUUUUUCUGGCAGACUAGAAAAUAUAAAUAUUUCUCAUUUUAGCUGCAAAGAACAAAGAAGAGAUAUUUGAAAAGCAAAUCUAGCCAAAUCCCAGUUGAUUUGGAUUUACUGUACAAGGAUUUACAUAAUUUUUGAGGAAAUAUUACUUUUGAAAGCCAUGAUUUAUAACUCAAAAAAUGGAAUGCAGAUUGAUUAUUUAAAUACAACUCAGAGAAGCAAUUUGAUCACGGAACAGGAUUUCAAAAUUGCAGUUUUUAAUUCAAAGACAGGCUCUCAAAAUCAACAGCACUGGGUGCUAUAUGUGAUUAAUAUUUACUUUAAAAUAUCAUCCAUUUUUCUUGCAGAUUUGAGAUUGAUCCACUAAGGAUAGAAUACACUAUGAAUAGGAGUGUAAAAUUUAGAUCUGGGUCUAAACUAAGAUUAGAUGUGUUUAGACCUGAGUUUUGAUGUAGUUCCUUACAGAAAUAACACUCAGUUGAAAAGCUGUAAUUUGAAUGUGCCAGAUUUUGAUGACAUUUAUAGUCAGACAAGUUUCUUCGUGACAUAAAUAUUUCAGGACUAAAGGACCUGUGUAAACUUAGAUAUAUGUCUAUAUGCAACAUACUUCCCAAAAUAUUUGCGAGUUGCAUCACUUCAUUAGCUUAAAAAGAAUCUUGUAGUCUUGAGUUCUGUCCAUAGAAUUUAUCAUUGGUUUACUCAGGAAACGUAAAGGAUCCACUUAGGGAUCACAGCACCAAAUUUCAAAAUAUAAGUGAAUCAGAAUUACAAAAUGUAUCUUAGUUUUAUAUUUUCUUAAGGAUUUUAUUUCUGUAACACCUUCAGAAAUCUCAGAUACUCUUUUACUCGCUGUUCAACAGAUAAUGCUUUAGGGAUUAAAAUAUCUGACACAAAAUGCAUUUAAAUGACUGUAUCGUGUUUUUACCCCAUAUUUAAAUGACAGUCCUGCAAAAAAAAAAAAAAAACCAGUUAAAAUAGUCACCUCAACAUUUUGCAGAA
Molecule: long non-coding RNA, 1814 nt
Organism: Corvus hawaiiensis (hawaiian crow)
Lineage: Eukaryota; Metazoa; Chordata; Aves; Passeriformes; Corvidae
Exons: 3
Source: RefSeq, a predicted model, not a curated record